Molecule: small nuclear RNA, 314 nt
Filed under: Salvator merianae (Argentine black and white tegu)
Lineage: Eukaryota; Metazoa; Chordata; Lepidosauria; Squamata; Teiidae
Description: 7SK RNA (ENSSMRG00000012507.1)
Rfam family: 7SK RNA
About the family: 7SK was discovered as an abundant small nuclear RNA in the mid-70s but a possible function has only recently been suggested. Two independent studies have found that 7SK RNA binds the CDK9/cyclin T complex (known as elongation factor P-TEFb).
Source: RNAcentral
GGCUGUGAGGAUGAUCUGGCUGUGAUGCCAUGGUUGGAUUUGGCUGAUCUGGCUAGUUACCUGAGUAUCCCCUUCCUCCUUCACUGUUCCAUGGGUGCCCUUCCCGAAGUUGCAUGUUCGGUCAGGAGGACAUCCAACCCAGCGUGUUGUUCCUCAGUCUGGGUACACGACAGCUAUGCUGCCCUAUUGGAACUUCCAGACAAGCUCCAAGUAGUGACAGCUCCAUCAUCAAGGUUGGUGAAACCUUGUACUGAUCAACAGUCUCAUUCAUUUCCACCCAUAAGGGAAUUUGAAAUUAUCAGAGUACUGAAAAU